RNAcentral lists this ribosomal RNA (446 nucleotides) under uncultured bacterium. RNAcentral's name for it is "partial 16S ribosomal RNA". It matches the Rfam family "Bacterial small subunit ribosomal RNA", at positions 338 to 795 of the family's 1533-position model. The record is from RNAcentral.
CCUACGGGGUGCAGCAGUCGAGAAUCAUUCACAAUGGGGGAAACUCUGAUGGUGCGAUGCCGCGUGGGGGAAUGAAGGUCUUUGGAUUGUAAACCCCUGUUAUGCGGGAGCAAACGCAAAAGAUAGUACCACACGAGGAAGAGCCGGCUAACUCUGUGCCAGCAGCCGCGGUACUACAGAGGUCUCAAGCGUUGUUCGGAAUCACUGGGCGUAAAGCGUGCGUAGGCUGUUUCGUAAGUCGUGUGUGAAAGGCGCUGGCUCAACCCGCGGACUGCACAUGAUACUGCGAGACUAGAGUAAUGGAGGGGGAACCGGAAUUCUCGGUGUAGCAGUGAAAUGCGUAGAUAUCGAGAGGAACACUCGUGGCGAAGGCGAGUUCCUAGACAAUAACUGACGCUGAGGCACGAAGGCCAGGGGAGCGAAAGGGAUUAGAUACCCCAGUAGUC